Molecule: long non-coding RNA, 2085 nt
Organism: Athene cunicularia (burrowing owl)
Lineage: Eukaryota; Metazoa; Chordata; Aves; Strigiformes; Strigidae
Exons: 4
Source: RefSeq, a predicted model, not a curated record
UGGCUCAUAUUUGUCUGCUGUUGACCAACCCCCCAGGUCCUUUUCCGCCAGGCAGCUUCCCAGCUGCUCCUCCCCAAGCCCGCAGCAUCCCAUGGGGUUGCUGUGCCCCAGGGGCAGGACCCGGCACUGAGCCUUGUGGAACCUCAUACAGCUGGGCUUGGCCCAUCGCUCCAGCCUGCCCAGACCCCUCAGUGGAGCCUCCCUACCCCCAGCAGAUCAACCCUCCUGCCCAACUGGGUGUCAUCUGCAAACUUGCUGAGGGUGCCCUCGAGCCCCUCGUCCAGAUCAUUCCUAGAGAUCUUAAACAGAGCUGGCCCCAGUACUGAGCCUUGGGAGCAUCAUCUGUGACUGGUCACCAACUGGAUUUAAAACCAUUCACCACAAGUACAGCCAGUUUUUUACCCAGGGAGAAGUACACCUGUCGAAGGCACGAGCAGCCAGUCUCUCCAGGAGAAUGCUGCUGGAAGCUGUGAAAGGCACUACUGAGGCCUGCUUUGGCAAUAAGGUGGAGAAUGGGAUUUCUUCAGGAGUGAUGCUACAGCAGGCAGUCAAGCACUGAUUGUUGUCCAUUUGGACCAUCUGCAGCUCUCCUGAAGUGUCAAGACCCGAUUUACCAGGCGGGCCGUGUUCGAUGACAGGGACCUGGACACCAGGCAGGCGGCUCCGCCUGAGGCCCUGAGGGGGGACCGAGCAGCAGCAGGGUGGGCAGCCUGCACUCAUCUUCCACUGCAUCCCCAGUUUGUGUCACCGGUGGGAUCUGUGAGCACAGAGGCAGCUGAAAACACAAGUAGCAGCAACAGAAGUGGAACACAGUUAAAACGACAGCUUCACCUAGUCCAGCACGUUGUCUCCAGAAGCAGGUGGCAGAGGUCAGCACGACUGAAACUUGUCGUCCUCCGUUACCCUGAGUGCCCCAGUUUCUCACAGCUGAUUCACUAGCAACAUCUCGCCAGAAGCAGUUGCAUGCCAGCUCUGUGGAUGCUUUGAGCAGCCAUCAUAAACCAGACACUCCUGCCUGAGCACCUUUUCUGGACUUUCAUCUAGUGGAGCAUCUGAAAUUAGGCCCUACCCCCUUGUGUCUCAACACCAGGUUUGUCAUAGAAGCAGCAAAACAGCUGGAGAGAUUUUUCUAGUUCUGACGCUUUUCAGUAUGCUUGUUGUUGAGGCUUCUGGGCCACCUUCAUCAGAGCAACCAUCCGCGUCAUCCUGUUCUAACUGGAGCUGGGGACUGUAACAUGGACCCUCUGGGCAAUCUCAGCUGUAGGGAAAUGGGUGUGGAUUUCCUGCCCCCCCCCCCGGUGUAUGUGCAGUGGGUGGGAUGUUAUGGGAGGCUUUCAGGCUGGCAUGUUUAUAGCGUGUAUGAUACUAUAUGCUUUUGUCUGAGAAAAAUUAUGCUGAUGACCUGCUUCAAUUCUUACAAGGACUAUGAUGAUAUAAGAAUAUGUUUACUUUUGUCUAAAUGAUAACUAUUGCAUAUGUCCUAAUCAUGGCUCAGUUGUGUUAGGAAUAUAUAAGUACGAAGUAGUAAGUCCGGCCCAAGAAAACUACAAAAAUGUCUAAGUGUGGAGAAAAAGAAAUCUAUUUAAAUAAUUUUUUUUUAAAAAUUCCAUUUUAUAAGAGAGGCCCCAUGAAACACAUUGAGUCUGUGUAAGUCUACACUUGUGGUAACAAGUUGAACCAAGACUGUUCCUGUGGAGAUGCCAAGGUCCCUUUUCCAGCUGUACCGGCAAGUCAACAGCUGCAAAGGACGGAGACUGGGGCCAUGAGUGAGUGUGACACCAGCUCUUAGGAAAGGAAUUCUGCCCUCUUCCCCCUGAGGCUGCUUUUCUUUCUGUGCUGGCACAUCUUGGCGGUAUCCGUUGACCCAGACUAAGGAAAGCUUGUUUGGGCUACAUAAAAUGUGUUAAUUUUUUACCAUUUAAACUGUAUUUUAAAAAACUUUAAUCAUGUCAACAAAUUAUUUUUUUUUUUUUUUUUAAGCAGAGCCAAGUAAAGCCAAGAGGCUUAAGGUCUGGCUGGUACCAGUGUUGUGUGUUCCAGCAGCUGCUGAGCCGAGCUUCGGCCGUGCCUCGCUCCCCAGGUACU